Aethalodelphis obliquidens (Pacific white-sided dolphin) is the source of this 1827-nucleotide RNA transcript. It is a transcript of the gene named cortexin 1, with no coding region annotated. NCBI's taxonomy places the organism in Eukaryota, Metazoa, Chordata, Mammalia, Artiodactyla, Delphinidae. The transcript is spliced from 3 exons. The record is from RefSeq and is a predicted model, not a curated record.
GGGCCGGUGGUCUCCCCGGCGCCUCUGGGCGGGGCCCGGUUCUCCCGGAGGACGGGGCGGGGUCGCGGGCCCGAGCGCCGCUCCCUGCGUAGCCUCCGCCCCCCGCGGCGGCCCCGCCCCCGUCGCCAUGGGAACAGCCGCGGCGGCCCGGCUGGCGCGGAGCUCGCCUGCCUCGGUCUCCGCCGCUCCAGGGGCGGGUGGGGUGGGCAGAGUCCGGGCCGCCGCCGCGGCCACCGGGGAGAGACCAGGAGCGGGUGCGGGUCCCGGAAGAGAGCGCGGCUGCCGGCCGCUUGGUCCCGGUCCCGGUCGAGGCCAGGGGCGCGCGGCGAUGUGAGCCAUGAGCGCGACGUGGACGCUGUCCCCCGAGCCGCUGCCGCCAUCGACGGGGCCCCCGGUAGGCGCGGGCCUGGACGCGGAGCAGCGCACCGUGUUCGCCUUCGUGCUGUGCCUGCUCGUGGUGCUGGUGCUGCUGAUGGUUCGCUGCGUGCGUAUCCUGCUCGACCCCUACAGCCGCAUGCCCGCCUCGUCCUGGACAGACCACAAGGAGGCGCUCGAGCGCGGGCAGUUCGACUACGCGCUGGUCUGAGCGGUGCGGCGCCCUCGGCCGGCCCUCCGCGGGGUCUCUCUCCCGGGGCCGAUCCGACGGUGCGCCGCCGGGCCUGGACCGCGCUCAGGAUCCUGCCCCCGAGCCCGCAGCCCGAGGGGGGAGGGCGUCAGGAUAAGUCCAACCCCUCCCCCCUCACACCCCUCCCAUCUUCCCUCCUGGCCAGGCCGGAGCCCCACUUCGUGCCUUUAUCCCGCCCUGUCCUCUCUCCGUAACUCACCGGCCCGGCUGGCCCCCGACUCUAAAGCCUGGGUGGGAAGAGGACGCCCGCCCCUCCGCCCCCAGCGUGUAGGUGGCUCUGCUACUGCCCUGCCGCCGAGCAUGAGUGUCAUGUCCGCUCCCGGGUUCGGGGACCCCCGUGUCCCUUCCCCUCCCUCCCCUGUCCUCUGGCCAUCCUCACUCCCCCGCCGCCCGCCCCCGCCAAGUGUUGAGCCCCUCCUCGGGCUCCGGGCCUGCGGGCUCUCCUGGGCCCAUGAGGUGGACGCUGCAUACCAAUAUGACCUGCGGGGCCUGCUCCGGAGACAGUGACUGAAGAGCGACGAUGGCUGCUGUGUCCAGGAUGCGAGGCUUCUUCCAUGGGGGGGAGAGGGCAGACAGGCUCCCUCCCGCCCCCAGCCCAGGCCCCAGUUCAGGACCCUGUUAGCAUCCUCAUUCUACAGGCCGGGGGACUCGGGUCCAGGCAGGUUGAGUGACCUGCCUAUAGCUGGCUUCUAGCCAGGCUAGAAUUUGAACCCAGGGCUGACUUCUGCACACUCUUAACAGCUGCCCAGGGCUGCGAAACACCCAGAUGUACACUCUGGGGGACCAAGGCAUAAUCCAUCCCCCUCGCUCCAGGAACAGCCAGGACCACCCUUCUUUCCCUUGACUUGAGGAGACUCUGGGGGCCGUGGAAUGGACUUGGGCUAGUAGGGAGCCUGGAUGGGGUGCCCUCAGCCAGCCCUGGAGGUUGUCUCCAAGAACUGGCACGGCCUUCUGGUACUGUGACCACACCCGCAGCCCCAAACCUCUCUGGCCUGGUCCCUCUGUCCCACCAUCAGCAUGUGCACUUUGGACACCAAGGGGCUGGUGCUGUGAGUCCUUGGGCAUGGAGUGGGCUGGCUCCGCUCCACGGCCCGCCUGCGAGAUGUGUUGUGCGCCCCCGGGGGGAGCCGUGUGCAGUGUGUGUGGGGAGAGACGAGCGUGGCUAUAAAAGGAAGGCUGUGUGAAUGCACAGGCUCUGCGAA